UUCCACUUCAGGAAACUACAAAAUUAAAUCCAAAGUAACCAAAGAAAAAAAAUCAAAAUUAAAUCAAAAUUAAAAAAUUAAAAUAAAUUUUAAAAUAUUUGGCCGGGCACGGUGGCUCACGCCUGUAAUCCCAGCACUUUAGGAGGCCCAGGUGGGUGGAUCACCUCAGAUCAGGAGUUUGAGACAAGCCUGGCCAACAUGGUGAAACCCCGUCUCUACUAAAAAUACAAAAAGUUGCCAGGCAUGGUGGUGUGUGCAUGUAAUCCCAGCUACUUGGGAGGCUGAGGCAUGAGAAUCGCUUGAACCCGGGAGGUGGAGGUUGCAGUUAGCCGAGAUCUUGCCACUGCACUCUAGGCUGGGUGACAGAGUGAGACUCCGUUUCAAAAAAAAAAAAAGGAAGAAAGAAGAAGGAGGAAGAAGAAGGAGGAAGAAGAAAGAGGAAGAAGAAGGAAGAAGAGGAAGGAAGGAAGGAGAAGAAGAAGGGGGAGGAGGAGGAGAAGGGGAAGGGGAAGGGGAAGGGGAAGAACAAGGAGGAGGAGGAGGAGAAGAAGAAGAGGAGGUGGCAGCCGUGAGGCAGAAAUCAAGACUGCUGGAUGGAACUGCUUUGGACAGGAGAAAGGAUCUGGAGAGCCCUGGUUCUGGGGAGCCACCAUGCUCAGGUGUAACGCAUUGAGCUGGGUGAGCUGGGCAGCCUUGGAGUUGAAAGGACCCCAGGAAUCCAGUCCAGGUCCCCUGUGGUGCAAAUGGGGAAACUGAGGUCCGGACAGGGAGAGGACCUCACCCAGCCGGUGGCUGCCAG
Molecule: long non-coding RNA, 799 nt
Filed under: Homo sapiens (human)
Lineage: Eukaryota; Metazoa; Chordata; Mammalia; Primates; Hominidae
Description: HSALNT0388858
Source: RNAcentral